Molecule: RNA transcript, 3271 nt
Organism: Magnolia sinica
Lineage: Eukaryota; Viridiplantae; Streptophyta; Magnoliopsida; Magnoliales; Magnoliaceae
Gene name: glycerol-3-phosphate dehydrogenase SDP6, mitochondrial-like
Exons: 8
Source: RefSeq, a predicted model, not a curated record
AGAACCCGCCAACUCUCUCUCUCUCUCUCUUCAGCGCUUUCUCUGUCCCUCUCGCUCACGUUAGCCGAGACCCGAAGACAGCAGAGGCAGCUCUGAAAAUAGAAAGAGAAAGACGGAUUUAAAUAGCCUUCUCUCUCUCUAUCUAGAAAACGGAGUUCCCGUGCUUGGAAUCUCCUUUUUUCCUCCAUCUCUAUCUCUUUCCAACUUCCAACGAAUCCAAACGGACGUUCCGUUUUCCUCUUGUUUUCAUCCAAACGCUUGCAUUUUCCCUUUUCCAACAUCAGAUCCUGAUGUUUGGACGGAAUCGCCGAUUUUCUGGUUGUUUUCUUAGAGAUUUUAAAGGAACUGCUGAAAGUUCUUCAUUUUGGGCAUCGGAUCUUGUUCUUACGCCCUGAUCGGCGGUUUUUGGUUCGUUUUCAACUAUUUUACAGAAAUUGCUGUGAUUUUUUCAUUUUCGGCAUCAGAUCUUGUUAUUUUAUUUAGAUUCCGGUUUUUUGAGUCAUUUUUCAUGGAUUUUUAUGAAGGACUCGCUGCAAUAUGAUCAUCACUGGUCUCAGAUCCUGCUCUUUUGCUGUAGUUUGUUGAUUUUUAUUCGUUUUUCAUGGAUUUGAUAGAAAUUUCUGUGAUUUUUUGCUCCUCUGGUCUCAGAUGCUGCUCUUUUUCAGUUGAUUCCUGCUUUCAACUCAUUUUUUAAGGCAUUUUAGAGAAAGUUUAAUAAUAUUUAGUUUCUGUCAGCAGAUCUUCUUCAGACAAUUGGUUUUGGUUGUGUUUUUGAAACAUCUUACAUUCAUUUCGUUUUCGUUUUUGGCAGCGGAUCCCACCUUCGAUUCUAAACUGCUAGUUUUUACUUCUUUUUCUCUGAAUUUAUUACAUUCUUUCCAUGUCUGGAUUCAGAUCCUGUUCAUUUUAGAGCUGAAAUUGUUGCAUUUUUUAAUGUAACUUCUCAUAUACUUUUUAAAACCGGUGCUAGUCUAUAUAAUUCCAAGGCAAUAUUUGAAGCUUUAACAGGCAAUUUGAUCAAUCUUUGUUCUGGAAGCUGCUGAUCUGAUUGUGCGAUGCGCCGGGUUGCAUUUGGAGCUGCUGCUGCUGCAUUUGCAGUGAAAUUAGGGGUUUACGAUGUUGAUGCAUUUGCAAAAGAAAGUACUGGGUUGGAAGCUGUGAAGGAGAGAAUCCUAUCGAAGAAUGGAAUUGUUCCGAGCCGAGCAGAGCAGGAGUCUGCAUUGUCAGGAAGCAGCUCAGAUCGGCCUCUCGAUCUGCUUGUAAUAGGCGGUGGUGCAACUGGUUCAGGAGUUGCACUUGAUGCUGCAACCCGUGGGCUUCGUGUGGGGCUUGUGGAGAGAGAUGACUUCUCGUCUGGUACAUCGUCGAGAUCUACCAAGCUACUUCAUGGAGGUGUACGUUAUUUGGAGAAGGCUGUAUUCAAUCUUGACUAUGGGCAGCUGAAGUUGGUCUUCCAUGCCCUUGAAGAGCGCAAUCGUGUUAUUCAAAAUGCUCCUCACAUAUGCCGUGCUCUGCCAACCAUGACUCCAUGUUUUAGUUGGUUUGAAGUAGUCUACUAUUGGGUGGGACUGAAAGCUUAUGAUCUGGUUGCUGGGCCACGUAUCCUGCAUCUAUCGCAAUAUUACUCUGUGCAUGAGGCUGUCAGUAUCUUUCCAACUCUCUCAAGAGAAUGUAAUGGGCGGAAACUGAAAGGUGCAGUUGUCUAUUAUGACGGGCAAAUGGAUGAUUCACGUCUUAAUAUUGGAUUAGCUUGCACAGCUGCAUUGGCAGGUGCAGCAGUGCUUAACCAUGCAGAAGUAAUCUCUGUCCUAAAAGAUGAUAAUUCUGGUCAGGUCAUUGGUGCCCAUGUACGAGACAAUUUGACAGGAAAUGAAUUCAACGUAUAUGCAAAGGUAGUUGUCAAUGCUGCUGGUCCUUUUUGUGAUGCUUUAAGAAAGAUGGCUGACAGUACCACUCCAAACAUUAUCUGUCCAAGCAGUGGUGCACACGUGGUUCUUCCAGAUUAUUACACACCUGAAGGCAUGGGGUUAAUCGUUCCUAAAACCAAAGAUGGCCGCGUGGUGUUUAUGUUACCAUGGCAGGGCAAAACGUUGGCUGGAACUACAGAUUCUGGCUCUGAAAUAACCAGCCUCCCGCAGCCACGCGAAGAGGAGAUUGAUUUUAUCAUGCAUGCCAUCAGUGACUACCUGAACAUUAAGGUCCGUCGCUCAGACAUUCUCUCUGCAUGGAGCGGAAUACGUCCACUGGCCACUGAUCCUUCAGCCAAGGACACUGCAAGCAUUUCCAGGGAUCAUAUUGUUGAUGUUGAUCGCCAUGGUUUGAUCACAAUCAUGGGCGGUAAAUGGACUACUUAUCGGAGCAUGGCAGAAGACACGGUGGAUGCUGCGAUCAAGCAUGGCAAGCUGGAGCCCUCAAACAGCUGUGUAACCGCUCAUCUUCCCAUUGUUGGUGCUUAUGGAUGGGAACCGUUAUUUUUCACGAUGCUGGUACAAUCAUUCGUGCGUUUAAAGAGAACCCAUGAUGGAAGGGUAGUGCCCAGGACAACCGACACUGCUACUGCCAAACAUCUUUCUUGCACAUAUGGGAGCAUGGCAGAACAUGUAACUGCUAUAGCACAGAAUGAAAAUCUCGGGAAAAGGUUGGUCCAUGGCCAUGUGUACCUAGAGGCAGAGGUGGCAUACUGCGCGAGGAACGAAUAUUGUGAAUCCGUUGUCGAUUUCCUCGCUAGGAGGACGAGGCUUGCCUUCCUCGAUGCUGAUGCGGCUUCAUGGGCGAUCCCGCGAGUCAUUGAGAUACUCGCUGCCGAGCACGGGUGGGACAAAGUGAGGCAGGACCGGGAACGGCAGGAUGCCGAAGCCUUUCUCCGCACCUUUAAAAUCGCUGCAGUGGGUUCACCAUCAUGACCCGGUUUGAUGCGGGAUCAUGGUAGGAAAUUUCAAGUGCACAAUAAUGAAAUAUUGGGGGAAAUUGAAAAUGUUUCUCAGCAUCCUUGCAAGCUUUUUCAUUGUCUUUUAAGGCCUUAACCACACCAGAAAUACCAUAUCUACUAGAAUUGGUGUCACCAUUCAUUUACAUUGAGUGCGUUUUCAAAGGUUUGGAGAUUUGAAUCCUAAACAUAUCACAAGUACUGCAUUAAUGGAACUGACAUCAUCACUCUAAUGGCUGAAUUGAGCGUCCAACGUUUUCAAUGGAUUAGAGAUUUAGAAUCCAGUUAUAACUGAAUAAUUACUUGUACUUUUUUAAAUUUCCACAAUUGGCACGAUGACUGAUA